This is a long non-coding RNA of Micropterus salmoides (largemouth bass), 599 nucleotides long. RefSeq lists it as uncharacterized. The record is from RefSeq and is a predicted model, not a curated record. The transcript is spliced from 2 exons. Lineage: Eukaryota; Metazoa; Chordata; Actinopteri; Centrarchiformes; Centrarchidae.
GGUUAAUUGCAUGGGGAUGGGCGAUGGCAGACAGGUGUGCUUGGGCAAGCUAUUUAACCAGGCUAAGGAGUCUUCUGCUUGUCUCCUGGGUGCAGUGUGCUGAGGCUGCUGAUAUCUGAAAUGGUGUGCCACACGGCUGGGUUGUAGUCUGGGGAGCCGGCAGUGCAGAGCCACUGCUACUUAGUAGAGUUACCAGAGGCCCCAAGCAGUGAGGAGGCCACAACCGGCCAACCUGUGACCAACAGCAGACCGUUCCUGUCGUGUUUUGCUUCGCCCCAUACAGGAAAACGAAGCUGAGCACACCCAGCCACGGAGAGCCGCAUUCCCGUUUAACUGACCCUGAGUUUCCCCCAUUUUGAACUGACCUUUUAACUUUCUUAGCUUCAGCUUUGUUUUAACCCUUUUUUUAAUGCCUAUUCUGUACAAAUAAACUUGGAGGUUAUAUUUUGCACAGCUUGUAGUAUUGUUGCCCACUUAUUUUACUCACUGGCUGGUCAAUUCUGAACUAGCUUAGGGUGUCAUACUAGUUUACAAUUUUACACAAAUGUUCAGUUUUGUAGCAAACUGCAUACAGAAAUAAAGAGAAAUUCUGCAAAACA